ACAAAGCGAAGCGGACAUCGUUAACGCACGAGCAUUGCAUAUAGUUGGCGGGAUGCGCGCGACGUGCAGCCAAACCACACGCCGCGCGCCUAACCGAUUCGACGCUCCGGGCGCAUCGCGACAUCCGAGGCCGAUAAAGCCGGCCGGUGUAAAAAACUGCACCUGCGAUUUGCAUAAUUUUACACGCGUCACUUUGUCGCGUAGCGCCAGUCGGUCGACUAGCGCGUGCUGCCCAGCUGUGCGAGGCGGACCGCGCCGGCCGAUCGAUACCUCGCCGAGGUAUCGCGCGCUCGCCUAGAUAAAUUCAACGUUGCUACGCGGACGGAAUACGAAAGUACCACCAUCCGACUUCUCCCGAUUUCUCCGACAAUUAAAUUCCUUUUCCUCCCGUCUUUCUGGCAAGAGCGCGAAGCUCCUAAUGUAAUUACCAUAUUUUGAGAAGAAUCUGAGCUUGAUCGAAACGUAAUCCUAUUUCUUCGCGCAAGCGGCUUGCGAAUGCAGGAGGAAUAUUCGAUCGAAACAACUGAUUCUUUUCGCCGAGAAGUAUCUACGCUUCGCAGGCAACGAUAAGGUACCGUGAUUGAGUCAAAGGUAAUCCGUAUGAGCUCCUCUAAGCUCCUUACAUCGCCCACGUGCUAGAGCGCGGUCAUUUAAAGCGAAGCUAACUUAUGAAUGAAGUUUACUUCCUUGCUCAACUCGGUGAGAUUAAACCGUUCAUUCAAAAAAAUACUGCGACUAUAGUUCUAAAUCUGAAUGUAUUAUAAUAAUAAAGUAGAAGGUGAAAAAAA
This is a long non-coding RNA of Monomorium pharaonis (pharaoh ant), 788 nucleotides long. RefSeq lists it as uncharacterized. The transcript is spliced from 2 exons. Lineage: Eukaryota; Metazoa; Arthropoda; Insecta; Hymenoptera; Formicidae. The record is from RefSeq and is a predicted model, not a curated record.